RNAcentral lists this long non-coding RNA (777 nucleotides) under Heterocephalus glaber (naked mole-rat). Its description in RNAcentral is "lncRNA (ENSHGLG00100049608.1)". Lineage: Eukaryota; Metazoa; Chordata; Mammalia; Rodentia; Bathyergidae. The record is from RNAcentral.
UGAAGGUCGACCAAUUAUUUGGAGAUUAAAGCUAUAGAAAUAAUCAUUUUCUGCCUAAUUUCAUCUUUGCUGCAGUUUUCCUUUAAAUAUGGCACAAGGUCACACAAUCAUCUUAAAAGUGUUAAUUGUAUGGAAAUCCCAAACUAUUCCAACCAUUGUUAUUUGUAUAGUUUCUUUUGAGCCUUCCCUUUGGUACUCUCAACUUUGGUGCCAUUGUAUUUAUUAGUAGCAUAGAUUAUUGUUUUUCAUUAGGACUGUAUCCAUCCGAUGGGUGUGUUACUUGGAAGUCUGGGGAGGAGGGUUGGGGAAAGUGGGGGGGGAGGUGGUGGGGGGUGGGAAAGCAUGGACGUUAGAUCCUUGAUACUGGCUGAGUUUGCAAUAGCAGGUGGAACCUUAACUAUUGAGGGAGUUUGCAGAUACCUCAGGAUUCGUGACAAUGCCUUUAAAGAUCCAGGAGAUGUUCAGCUACUAGGAACUGCUAGCAAGUAUAGCGCGAAUGGCUCCGAGCUCAGACACUCUGCAGCUGAGAGUAGACACUUAUGGGGAGGAAUCUGCUACAAGCUUAUCAGCUGUUAAUUUUCUUUUAAACUUCCAAGUUCAUAGCUAAAAGGGGACAUCCUUGUGAGGACAACCUUUGUCUGAGCCACUACUUCAUUCUCACUGCCAUGCAGUUGGUUUUAGCUGUUCUGCAGCUCUGAUUAAUCAUUCAAUUUUGUGAAUGGAUUUUUAAAUAAACUACUUUAAUUCAGCUUAUUUUCCUUGUCUCCUUUUAUUUAG